CAAUUUUACGCAUUCCGCGUAAGCUCUCGCUCCCGUCUUAAGAUUUUCGGGACUAGUACAAAGAAUUAAAAAAAUGUCCAACCCUCGCAUACAGAAUAGUUUCAUGAGAAAUGCGAUGUUCAUACUAAAUCACAAUAAAACUAUCAAAACGCUGCAUUUGCCAUUGAGACCUCAAUAAGCUCAGAAAGAAAUAAAAACGCCACACAUAUUAAAUGUUCACGUGCAAGGCGGAGGAGGCUGCUGUUGCGGAGAGGGAAGGGGCGCUGCCGCAGCGGCUGCAACUGCGGCAGCAGCAGCAUAGGACGACGGGUCUGAGGGAUCGAGAAGCGGUGGUGGCGGCGGUAGGCCGCUGCCACCGCCGCCGCCUCUUCCUCUACCUCGGCCUCUUCCACGACCCCGGCCCCGGCCCCUCCCCCUUCCGCGUCAACUCCGCCUCUCCGGCAUCCCUAUGUUGCUCGUUGUCUUUUCCAGGAAGGCCAGAGGCCCUUGCAGAGCGCUAUUGCCCAUACCGCCAACCGGGAACCCAGCGGCUCUGCCACCAGCUACACCCUGCGCCAUGAACAUGCCCUGUUGACUGACUGGUACACCGACUCCUUGAAGACCGGACGUCGGAGGACCACCGGAACCCUGCUGCACCUGCAAAGUUGACAUCAAGUGAGGAUGUACUAACAGGGAAUGCCUGAAAAGAAUAUGCUUCCCUCAUGAUAUAUGUAUGUGACACAACAUCAAGAAUGCAGUGGAAAGAUAUAGAGCACAGCCAUAUAAUGACCUUAAGUUUGCAUUUAACAUCUAUCCUAUACCGUAAUGUAAAAAAAAAAUAAUAUUACUCUAUGUUAUUUUUUUGUUAUUAUGCGAGAGAUAACUACCCAAAAAUAUAGAUUCUACACGCAGCAUGCAUAUAUGUUCAAAGAUGGGACACGCGCGAAUAACGAGAGAAAUCCGUUGGAUCUGUCGGGAGUGACGAUAAGAAUAGGCAAGGGAAAUGAAAGAAAGCACAAUGGUUGUUUGUUUGCGAUGAACAGAGAUAUUUAUUCUGCCGCAACAUCUCUAUUUGCGUGUAAGAACAACAUAAGUGAAACGGUAUUUUUUUCGGAUUGCAACAGUUAAUAUUUCUCUUAUAUCUCUGUGGAUAGAAUUCUUAUAAGGCACUGUUAUACGCAUUAUUAUUGUCCCUUAUCUGAUGGGACCUUAAUUAUCUAAUCUUCUAUUUCAUUUACUGUCUGGAAAAAAAAAUAGCAAAACAUUCUCUAGCUUUCUAAUACACAUUCUCGUGCGUACACACGCGCAUGUGCAGGCAAUUACUCAUCUAUGACCAAAUGUAAUGAAUAACAGGAAAAAAACGUUGCAACAAUAAAUAUAUACUAUAGUAAAAAAAUAGCAAAAGGACACGAUUACGCGGAGAAAACAAUGGUAUUUUAUAUAUAUGCAUGAUAUAAGAAUAGACCUAACAUUAAAAUAUCAAGAUAAAUGUAUUAUAUGAACAAUUAAUUUAUAUUUGAAGCAAUAAGAUUAACGCUCGAAAAAAAUCGCUCUUGAUAAACUUACAAAAGAUGAGAAACUUCUUGAGCUAUUAUAGAAGAUUUAAUCUUUUCAUUCAAUAUUUUAUCAAUUAUGCCAAUUUACUCUCCCCUAUCUUAUAUGGUAACAUUUUCUUCGUUUUUUUAUCUUUUACUUUAUCUAAUUCGAAAAAUGCGUAUACUUUAAGUACCUUAGGUACCAAAUUUCUCAACAAUCUGC
Molecule: long non-coding RNA, 1737 nt
Filed under: Camponotus floridanus (Florida carpenter ant)
Lineage: Eukaryota; Metazoa; Arthropoda; Insecta; Hymenoptera; Formicidae
Description: uncharacterized LOC112637090, transcript variant X1
Source: RNAcentral